AGUGAACGCUGGCGGUAGGCCUAACACAUGCAAGUCGAACGGCAGCACAGUAAGAGCUUGCUCUUACGGGUGGCGAGUGGCGGACGGGUGAGGAAUACAUCGGAAUCUACUUUUUCGUGGGGGAUAACGUAGGGAAACUUACGCUAAUACCGCAUACGACCUACGGGUGAAAGCAGGGGAUCUUCGGACCUUGCGCGAUUGAAUGAGCCGAUGUCGGAUUAGCUAGUUGGCGGGGUAAAGGCCCACCAAGGCGACGAUCCGUAGCUGGUCUGAGAGGAUGAUCAGCCACACUGGAACUGAGACACGGUCUAGACUCCUACGGGAGGCAGCAGUGGGGAAUAUUGGACAAUGGGCGCAAGCCUGAUCCAGCCAUACCGCGUGGGUGAAGAAGGCCUUCGGGUUGUAAAGCCCUUUUGUUGGGAAAGAAAGGCAGCAGGCUAAUACCCCGCUGUUCUGACGGUACCCAAAGGAUAAGCACCGGCUAACUUCGUG
This 492-nucleotide ribosomal RNA is filed under the name uncultured bacterium. RNAcentral's name for it is "partial 16S ribosomal RNA". It matches the Rfam family "Bacterial small subunit ribosomal RNA", at positions 29 to 507 of the family's 1533-position model. The record is from RNAcentral.